RNAcentral lists this long non-coding RNA (1228 nucleotides) under Capra hircus (goat). Its description in RNAcentral is "lncRNA (ENSCHIG00010021635.1)". Lineage: Eukaryota; Metazoa; Chordata; Mammalia; Artiodactyla; Bovidae. The record is from RNAcentral.
AGCGCUCACAUUGCCAGCCCCACGGCUCCCAGUGCGCCGGGAGUCAGAUUACGGCCACUUGUCUGAUUGGGUUUUUGAAGUCUUAGGGGUGGAAAGAUUCGGCACCAUGUGGCAAUCGCCAAGUUAUAUUUGAACUUGAAAUGACUUUCUCUACCUGAUCGCUAAAGACCCAGGGCAUUUCAGGAACACAAAAUGCUGGCUCACUUUAGGUUUCUUUAGCUGAUAAUCCUUGAAAAUGAGGAUUUCCCCAAAUCUUUAUUUGAAAUCCUCCCACCACAGGGAACUGCUGAGAACUUUUGUUGUUGUUGUUCUGUGUACAGAUGAAUUUGGGCGACUAUUAAGAGCACGGAUUUGCAUUAUCCAGCAGUUGAGAUGAACUGAGUGAGAUUCAGUCUUUGGUGCAUUUGUUUUUGAGUGGCGACAGAGCCAGUGGGUUCUAUGCAAAGUUUUUGCUCACAGAAGCAGUUUUUAAAGUAUUGCAGAUCACUUCAGGUCCCUUGGAGCCUGUGCAGCACUGAUUUGAGUAACAGGAUAUAAGACUGCUUUAGAGUCUCACCUGACUGUUAUGUGAACAAUUGUUCGGUAAGAAGUAGCAAAUUUUAAACAGAUAAAGGUUGGGUGGCACAAAAUUAUUGGGAACUAGCUUNNNNNNUUGUUCAGUCACUAAAUCGUGUCUGACUCUUUGCAACCCAUGGACUGCAGGAUGCUAGGCUGCUCUGUCUUCCAUUAUCUCCCCAAGUUUGCUCAAAUUCUUGUCUGUUGAUUCGGUGAUGCUAUCUAACCAUCUCAUGCACUGCUGCCCGCUUCUCCUUUUGCCUUCGAUCUUUUCCAGGAUUGAAGUCUUUUCCAGUGAGGUGGGAACUAUAAGUAAAUUUAAUAUCUAGAAACCCAAGGACAGGACUGACUUGACUGUACCAUUUGAGGGGUUCAGUGAAAAGUGAAUGCAGGACUCCUUGAAAAAUUAUGAGGAAUUUCCAGUUUGCAACAGUAGGAUAUGAAAGAAAGUGUGGGACCCUUCUAAGUGCACAGAUUGUGUGCCGGUAAGGCAGGCCCGACUAGAGUUUGGUGAACUUUGGAAGGUCUGACAGUUAGUGCCUGUAUUACCAUCUCAUUUUUUUCUUUCUUUAAAUGGACCACAAGUACCUAGAACUGGAAUAAUCAUCAUCCUUGAUAUAGGGCACUCUGUUAUCACUGGUACAUUUAUUUUAUAAUUAUAUAUUUUAAUUAG